RNAcentral lists this ribosomal RNA (498 nucleotides) under uncultured bacterium. RNAcentral describes it as "partial 16S ribosomal RNA". It matches the Rfam family "Bacterial small subunit ribosomal RNA", at positions 30 to 523 of the family's 1533-position model. The record is from RNAcentral.
AUUGAACGCUGGCGGCAUGCUUUACACAUGCAAGUCGAACGGUAACAGGCCGCAAGGUGCUGACGAGUGGCGAACGGGUGAGUAAUGCAUCGGAACGUGCCCAGUCGUGGGGGAUAACGCAGCGAAAGCUGUGCUAAUACCGCAUACGAUCUAUGGAUGAAAGCGGGGGACCGUAAGGCCUCGCGCGAUUGGAGCGGCCGAUGUCAGAUUAGGUAGUUGGUGGGGUAAAGGCUCACCAAGCCAACGAUCUGUAGCUGGUCUGAGAGAACGACCAGCAACACGGGGACUGAGACACGGCCCAGACUCCUACGGGAGGCAGCAGUGGGGAAUUUUGGACAAUGGGCGCAAGCCUGAUCCAGCAAUGCCGCGUGCAGGAAGAAGGCCUUCGGGUUGUAAACUGCUUUUGUACGGAACGAAACGGCGAGCUCUAAUACAGUUUGCUAAUGACGGUACCGUAAGAAUAAGCACCGGCUAACUACGUGCCAGCCGCCGCCGUAA